AUGAACGCUGGCGGCGUGCCUAAUCCCUGCAAGUCGAGCGCACAGACGAGGAGCUUGCUCCUCUGACGUUAGCGGCGGACGGGUGAGUAACACGUGGAUAACCUACCUAUAAGACUGGGAUAACUUCGGGAAACCGGAGCUAAUACCGGAUAAUAUAUUGAACCGCAUGGUUCAAUAGUGAAAGACGGUUUUGCUGUCACUUAUAGAUGGAUCCGCGCCGCAUUAGCUAGUUGGUAAGGUAACGGCUUACCAAGGCGACGAUGCGUAGCCGACCUGAGAGGGUGAUCGGCCACACUGGAACUGAGACACGGUCCAGACUCCUACGGGAGGCAGCAGUAGGGAAUCUUCCGCAAUGGGCGAAAGCUUGACGGAGCAACGCCGCGUGAGUGAUGAAGGUCUUCGGAUCGUAAAACUCUGUUAUUAGGGAAGAACAAAUGUGUAAGUAACUAUGCACGUCUUGACGGUACCUAAUCAGAAAGCCACGGCUAACUACGUG
This 496-nucleotide ribosomal RNA is filed under the name uncultured bacterium. Its description in RNAcentral is "partial 16S ribosomal RNA". It matches the Rfam family "Bacterial small subunit ribosomal RNA", at positions 29 to 507 of the family's 1533-position model. The record is from RNAcentral.